GAGGGUGCGCUGGAAGCUGCUGGAGACCGUCCCAGAGUGCUGGCUGGAGUGUGUUCUCACUGGGCUGGUGUGGACUGUCAACAGGUAAGGGAAGGGGAGAUUGCUAGAGGUUAUAAAAAAGGUGUCAAGCUUUGUCUUUGUCCCAUGUCUUUUUCUCGUAAUGCAAGUGUUCUUUUUCCUCUAAGCCUGACAGGGGUCCAGGAUCAUGGGGAACCUGGUGUUGAAGGACAGAAAGUCCACUUAAAAAGCUGUUGUUAUAGCUAAAGUCUUCAACUUCACUCUUGUUUUGAGGAUUCUUCUGGGCUACCCGACUCAGGACAGGGAGAGGCCACUACUUAUACAGGUGCUGCGGUUGCUGUGCCAGGCCUGAGCCAACCCCCUCUGGAGCAGAAGCUCUGUGAGCCGGGCUCUGCUGCUGUGUGUGACUGAGUGAUGCAGAGCUACAGUAGCUACGCUCAGAGUUACUGCAGGUCAUGCUGGGAGGGAUACAGAGUCACCUGGAUAGCAGCGUAGUGCAUGUGAGGGGCAUGGUGGUUGGGGAGUGUCUCCGCUCCUGCAUGGACAUCAACAGAGCCAAGCUCAAACUCGAGGAUGAGGAGACCAAGGAGCUGCUCUCACUGAUGACUCCACUUUCUGAUGAAGAAACGGAGCCGCUUGAUGACAGAUUGGCUCGUCCUCGAGGUCAAAGGGCAGACCAUACCAUCCCAGGCUGCUUCAGUGGCCCAGAAAUCAGGAGCUGACCCAGACUCUUGUUAUACACUACAUUUAUUAACAUAAUGUUGUCUGUGAGACUGAAGUUGUAUAUUUAAUUCAAAUCAUUACAACUUAAUGAAUCUUCCCACGAGCAAGUUAAGGCAUGGUAUA
This is a non-coding RNA of Oncorhynchus mykiss (rainbow trout), 864 nucleotides long. The record is from RefSeq and is a predicted model, not a curated record. Lineage: Eukaryota; Metazoa; Chordata; Actinopteri; Salmoniformes; Salmonidae.